This 440-nucleotide ribosomal RNA is filed under the name uncultured bacterium. RNAcentral describes it as "partial 16S ribosomal RNA". It matches the Rfam family "Bacterial small subunit ribosomal RNA", at positions 338 to 795 of the family's 1533-position model. The record is from RNAcentral.
CCUACGGGAGGCAGCAGUGGGGAAUAUUGCACAAUGGGGGAAACCCUGAUGCAGCGACGCCGCGUGAGCGAUGAAUUCUUUCUGUGUGUAAAGCUCUAUCUGCAGGGAAGAAAAUUACGGUACCUGACUAAUAAUCCACGUCCAACUACGUUCCAGCAGCCGCGGUAAUACGGAGGGGGCAAGGGUUAUCCGGAUUUACUGGGUGUAAAGGGAGCGUAGACGGCUUGGCAAGCCAGUUGUGAAAGGCUGGGGCUCAACCCCAGGAUUGCAGUUGGAACUGUCAGGCUAGAGUGUAGGAGAGGCAGGCGGAAUUCCUAGUGUAGCGGUGAAAUGCGUAGAUAUUAGGAGGAACACCAGUGGCGAAGGCGGCCUGCUGGACGAUGACUGACGUUGAGGCUCGAAAGCGUGGGGAGCAAACAGGAUUAGAUACCCGAGUAGUC